GUAACCAGAGCGUUCGAGAGAGAUAGGGAAAGAGAGAGAGAGCCACGCCACGCUACGCUCUCUUGGCAUUCACAUUCACCCUAUCUACAUAAUCGCACCUCUCGCUCGCUCUGCCGCUGAUCGACGUGGCGUGCAUAUUUCGAUUGCAUUUUGAUAUAGAGUUUUAGUAUUGGUUUUUGUAGCUUUUUCUGCGUUCUUAGAUUAGUUUAGGCGCCGCCACUGUCACCGACUCUCUCUCUCUCUCUCUCGCUCGCUCUCGAUCCCAGUCUCUGUCGCACAGUCGGGUGACAAAAGUUGCUCGGUGUCAGGCCCGAGAGACAUGAUCAGCAUCACAGCCCAACCCAUCCCACUUUUCGGUCUUCGUGUCGCGUCUCAGCUGUUGCUCUUCAUCUUCACCUUCGUCUCGUCUCGUCUUUAUCUUUAUACUACUGUUAUCGCAUCAUUGUAGUUGAGGGGGCUUUUGCUUUAAUAAGUAAGGGUUCCGUAUUAGCCCACGCAUUUCUUUCAGGCCGUGUCAAAUCUAAAUCAAUUUGUCCAACGGAUGAGGGUCUUGGCGAAAAUGUAAUGGCUCUCGACGGACCAUUGUCAACCCACAUGAUAUCUGUCGUACCCACAUCAAAACUAUCCGAGGCAAACGGAAACCCCUGAAUCUGAAUCUGUAUCUGAAUCUGAAUGCAGCCAACUCUACACAGAAAUGCAGCAGUCUGGUUUUGGAACUGGAACCUCGUAUCGCUGCGUUUGUUGGGCACCUUCUAUGGCAAAGAAAGUGUAUCUGUAUAUUUUGAACACCAUACGCAACGCCACCUGUCGGUUGGGGCGUGUGGGUGUGGGCGUAACUUAAUUUAACGGUUUAGCGGUAAAUGUUUUCCUCUUUCGUUCGCCAUUCUCCAUCCAUUCGCCGCCCCUUUGGUACACUUUCUUAGCGGGUCUAAUGGCGCACGAAGAAGAACAAAUUUGUUUUCUGGCGCUUAUGGGGAGCAGAGCGGAGCGAGUGGGAGAUUGAUUAGGAGCGGAGGAGAUUGUGGGCUGGAUCCAUUGUUGUUGCCGGCCAGUCGCGCGACCAACUAGCAUAUCAGUUGCCAUUCCGUUUCUGCUCCCCCUCUUUCUUCUACACCCCUAUACGUGUAUUCCUCCUCCUCUUCACCAAUGUUAAGUUCAAUGACAGAAUUUGAAACCCCCCGUGCCUUCACUCCUGAUUUUGCUCAUGAAUCUUUGGACAGGGCUUAAUCAGCCAGCCUUUGUUAUCAGUAGUAGUAUACAUAGUAUGUAUGAUGGCCUAGUUUCUUCGUCUUUUAUUUUUACUUUAUUUUUUUGGCAGAUGGGGAAACUGGAAUAUGACCUGAGGAAAGGUUAAUUAAUUAGCAAUUUUGUUGAAAAUAAAGCUCGGUUCGGGGGGGGGCCUUGGAAUACCACUUCACUUCAAUAUAGUUCCAUAAGAUGAGAUAUUUUUCUGUAGAUUUUAAUCGAUUCUUUGG
RNAcentral lists this small RNA (1475 nucleotides) under Drosophila pseudoobscura pseudoobscura. RNAcentral's name for it is "GA32197". Lineage: Eukaryota; Metazoa; Arthropoda; Insecta; Diptera; Drosophilidae. The record is from RNAcentral.